Molecule: non-coding RNA, 21 nt
Filed under: Caenorhabditis elegans
Lineage: Eukaryota; Metazoa; Nematoda; Chromadorea; Rhabditida; Rhabditidae
Source: RNAcentral
UAUGUUCGAUUUUUUAUUUCA